GGAGUUCAAAGAUCGGGUCGUCUCGCUGAUAUGGAAACCAAAUGGUUGCGUCUUCAUUAAAUCCAUUGUAGAAGCAUCGAAAGUACUCAGCUACCUUUGUAGCAGAAUACGCGCAACCCGGAAAAGCUGACGCCGCUUCGCCAAAGGACAUGCAUCGGCGACGUUCGGUAGUGUCCUCCGCCGAUUCGAUAUUGGGGAACGUCAUGUGGUCUAUCGGCUGCUGGGUGAU
This 229-nucleotide long non-coding RNA is filed under the name Setaria viridis. Its description in RNAcentral is "long non-coding RNA (SVIR_LNC006492)". Lineage: Eukaryota; Viridiplantae; Streptophyta; Magnoliopsida; Poales; Poaceae. The record is from RNAcentral.